Molecule: ribosomal RNA, 1142 nt
Filed under: Laimaphelenchus belgradiensis
Lineage: Eukaryota; Metazoa; Nematoda; Chromadorea; Rhabditida; Aphelenchoididae
Description: SSU rRNA
Rfam family: Eukaryotic small subunit ribosomal RNA
Source: RNAcentral
UUGAACUAACAAGGUAGCCGUAGAUAACGGAGGAUCAAGGUCUGACUCCGGAGAGGGAGCCUUAGAAACGGCUACCAUGUCUAACGAUAGCUGCAGGCGCGAAAAUUACCCACUGUCAACACGACGAGGUAGUGACGAGAAAUAACGAGACCGUUCUCUAUGAGGUCGGUCAUUGGAAUGGGUACAAUCUAGACAUUUUAACGAGUACCUACAGGAGGGCAAGUCUGGUGCCAGCAGCCGCGGUAAUUCCAGCUCCUGUAAUGUAUAGAAUUAUUGUUGCGGUUAAAAAGUUCGUAGUUGGAUUGUCAAACCGUCCCGGGUCCACCUUAACGGGUGGUUACUCGUGGGCGGUAUUUUACGCGUUUGUAUGCAAUUGGCUAGUCUGAUUGUAUGCUGCGGGUAGGAUUACUUUGAACGGCUUAAGUGCUCAAGGCGAGUCUUACGGCUGAAUACCCGUGCAUGGAAUAAUGGAACAAGGUUUCGGCCGAGUUUUAUUGGUUUUGUCGGCUGAAACAAUGGUUAACAGGAACAGCCGGGGGCAUUCGUAUCGCUGCGCGAGAGGUGAAAUUCGUGGACCGUAGCGAGACGCACUAAAGCGAAGGCAUUUGCCAAGAGUGUUUUCAUUAAUCAAGAACGAAAGUCAGAGGUUCGAAGGCGAUUAGAUACCGCCCUAGUUCUGACCGUAAAUGAUGCCAACUGACAAUCCGCUCGUGGAUUUUUUUCAUGAGCGGGCGGUCUUCCGGAAACGAAAGUUUUUCGGUUCCGGGGGAAGUAUGGUUGCAAAGCUGAAACUUAAAGGAAUUGACGGAAGGGCACCACCAGGAGUGGAGCUUGCGGCUUAAUUUGACUCAACACGGGAAACCUCACCCGGCCAGUACAUCGUGAGGAUUGACAGACCGAUAGCUCUUUCAUGAUUCGGUGAAUGGUGGUGCAUGGCCGUUCUUAGUUCGUGGAUCGAUUUGUCUGGUUUAUUCCGAUAACGAGCGAGACGCCAACUGUUAACUAGUGCACGAAUUACUUCGGUUGUUCGUGAUCACUUCUUAAAGGGAUUUGUGGUUACUAGCCUCAAGAAAUGGCGCAAUAACAGGUCUGUGAUGCCCUUAGAUGUUCGGGGCCGCACGCGUGCUACAAUGGUGGUAUCA